UACGAGGGGGGCAAGCGUUGUUCGGAUUUAUUGGGCGUAAAGGGAGCGUAGGCGGACAGUUAAGUCAGUGGUGAAAGCCCAGAGCUCAACUCUGGAAUUGCCUUUGAUACUGAUUGUCUUGAGUAUGGGAGAGGUAUGCGGAACUCCGAGUGUAGAGGUGAAAUUCGUAGAUAUUCGGAAGAACACCAGUGGCGAAGGCGGCAUACUGGCCCAUUACUGACGCUGAGGCUCGAAAGCGUGGGGAGCAAACAGG
Molecule: ribosomal RNA, 253 nt
Filed under: uncultured bacterium
Lineage: Bacteria
Description: partial 16S ribosomal RNA
Rfam family: Bacterial small subunit ribosomal RNA
Source: RNAcentral